GCCAGUGUGGUGUAACGGCUUGAAUAUUGGACUAUGACUUUGGAAACCAGGGUUCAAAUCCCUGCUUGGCC
RNAcentral lists this transfer RNA (71 nucleotides) under Phrynosoma platyrhinos (Desert horned lizard). RNAcentral's name for it is "tRNA-OTHER". The record is from RNAcentral. Lineage: Eukaryota; Metazoa; Chordata; Lepidosauria; Squamata; Phrynosomatidae.